Molecule: ribosomal RNA, 68 nt
Filed under: Ceratocystis platani
Lineage: Eukaryota; Fungi; Ascomycota; Sordariomycetes; Microascales; Ceratocystidaceae
Source: RNAcentral
ACAUACGACCAUAGCUUGUAGAAAGCACGGGAUCCCGUCCGCUCUCCCCUAGUUAACCUACAAAGCGC